This 1040-nucleotide ribosomal RNA is filed under the name Bacillus sp. (in: firmicutes). RNAcentral's name for it is "bacterial SSU rRNA". It matches the Rfam family "Bacterial small subunit ribosomal RNA", at positions 70 to 1089 of the family's 1533-position model. Lineage: Bacteria; Bacillati; Bacillota; Bacilli; Caryophanales; Bacillaceae. The record is from RNAcentral.
AGAUGGGAGCUUGCUCCCUGAUGUCAGCGGCGGACGGGUGAGUAACACGUGGGUAACCUGCCUGUAAGACUGGGAUAACUCCGGGAAACCGGGGCUAAUACCGGAUGCUUGAUUGAACCGCAUGGUUCAAUUAUAAAAGGUGGCUUUUAGCUACCACUUACAGAUGGACCCGCGGCGCAUUAGCUAGUUGGUGAGGUAACGGCUCACCAAGGCGACGAUGCGUAGCCGACCUGAGAGGGUGAUCGGCCACACUGGGACUGAGACACGGCCCAGACUCCUACGGGAGGCAGCAGUAGGGAAUCUUCCGCAAUGGACGAAAGUCUGACGGAGCAACGCCGCGUGAGUGAUGAAGGUUUUCGGAUCGUAAAACUCUGUUGUUAGGGAAGAACAAGUACCGUUCGAAUAGGGCGGUACCUUGACGGUACCUAACCAGAAAGCCACGGCUAACUACGUGCCAGCAGCCGCGGUAAUACGUAGGUGGCAAGCGUUGUCCGGAAUUAUUGGGCGUAAAGCGCGCGCAGGCGGUUUCUUAAGUCUGAUGUGAAAGCCCCCGGGCUCAACCCGGGGAGGGUCAUUGGAAACUGGGGAACUUGAGUGCAGAAGAGGAGAGUGGAAUUUCCACGUGUAGCGGUGAAAUGCGUAGAGAUGUGGAGGAACACCAGUGGCGAAGGCGACUCUCUGGUCUGUAACUGACGCUGAGGCGCGAAAGCGUGGGGAGCGAACAGGAUUAGAUACCCUGGUAGUCCACGCCGUAAACGAUGAGUGCUAAGUGUUAGAGGGUUUCCGCCCUUUAGUGCUGCAGCAAACGCAUUAAGCACUCCGCCUGGGGAGUACGGUCGCAAGACUGAAACUCAAAGGAAUUGACGGGGGCCCGCACAAGCGGUGGAGCAUGUGGUUUAAUUCGAAGCAACGCGAAGAACCUUACCAGGUCUUGACAUCCUCUGACAACCCUAGAGAUAGGGCUUCCCCUUCGGGGGCAGAGUGACAGGUGGUGCAUGGUUGUCGUCAGCUCGUGUCGUGAGAUGUUGGGUUAAGUCCCG